GCCAGGGUCGCAUAGCCCGGUAUUGCGGUGGCCUCGAAAGCCACUGGGAGAAAUCCCGCGGGGGUUCAAAUCCCUCCCCUGGCGCCA
This 87-nucleotide transfer RNA is filed under the name Candidatus Poseidoniia archaeon. RNAcentral describes it as "tRNA-Ser". It matches the Rfam family "tRNA". From Rfam's summary of the family: Transfer RNA (tRNA) molecules are approximately 80 nucleotides in length. Their secondary structure includes four short double-helical elements and three loops (D, anti-codon, and T loops). Lineage: Archaea; Methanobacteriati; Thermoplasmatota; Candidatus Poseidoniia. The record is from RNAcentral.